Molecule: ribosomal RNA, 253 nt
Filed under: uncultured bacterium
Lineage: Bacteria
Description: partial 16S ribosomal RNA
Rfam family: Bacterial small subunit ribosomal RNA
Source: RNAcentral
GACGAACUGCCCAAACGUUGUUCGGAAUCACUGGGCUUAAAGGGCGCGUAGGCGGCAACACAAGUCAGGGGUGAAAUCCGGCAGCUUAACUGUCGAAGUGCCUUUGAUACUGAGUUGCUCGAGGAAGGUAGGGGUCUGUGGAACUUCCGGUGGAGCGGUGAAAUGCGUUGAUAUCGGAAGGAACGCCGGUGGCGAAAGCGACGGACUGGACCUUUUCUGACGCUGAGGCGCGAAAGCUAGGGGAGCAAACGGG